Vitis vinifera (wine grape) is the source of this 3368-nucleotide RNA transcript. It is a transcript of the gene named disease resistance protein RPP13-like, with no coding region annotated. The record is from RefSeq and is a predicted model, not a curated record. The transcript is spliced from 3 exons. Lineage: Eukaryota; Viridiplantae; Streptophyta; Magnoliopsida; Vitales; Vitaceae.
GAUUGGUAUCAAUCUUACGGACGAGGAAAGCAAUUGGCUCCCUAACAACAAAUCGAGGAGGCUAAAUUGCAGUGUAAGGGGAAAGUGUAAUCUGGGGUUUGGCACCAAAACUUUGACAAAACAUAAGCUACUGUUCCUUUGAGAGUAUCAAAUCUAUUUUCAUGGCCGAGUCUGCAGUUUCCUUCGCUGUCGAAAGGAUUGGUGACGCACUCCUUCAAAAAGCAAUUUUCUUGAAAGGGGUGCAUGAGCAAGUCGAUCGGAUGCAGAGAGAGCUGAAGCGGAUGCAAUGCUUCUUGAAAGAUGCGGAUGCAAAGCAGCAAGAAGAUGAGAGGGUGCGCCACUGGGUUUCUGAGAUCCAGGAUGUUGCUUAUGAUGCUGAGGACGCUAUAGAUGCCUUUAUCUUCAAUGUAGAGUCUGGAAGGACAAAGUUCUUCCCCUGCCGCAUGUUCAAAAAGCUGGUGAGUUCUUGUAAGGUUGGCAAGGAAAUUGAAGCCAUCCAAAUUAAGAUCCAGGACAUCUCGAAGAGUCGGGAAACGUACGGAAUCAAUAGCAUUGGAGAAGCAACUAGUCAAGCAGGUCAGAGGCUACAAAAGCUAAGAUAUAUCUCUCCUCUUGUAAAAGAAGAGAUUAUUGUGGGCCUCAAGGAAGACACUGAUAAGCUCGUGGAGCAGCUUGUGAAAGGGGAUGAAAGACGCCGUGCCGUUUCUAUAGUAGGAAUGGGCGGCAUAGGCAAAACUACUCUUGCCAAAAAAGUCUACAACGAUAGCCAAGUCAUGGGUUAUUUUCGGUUUUGUCGUGCCUGGGCUUAUGUAUCCCAAGAUUGUAGACCCAGAGACGUUUUCCAGAAUAUUCUAAACCAAAUUCCCUAUAAACCAAAUGAAGAUGAAGCAAAGAAGAUAGAGAAAAUGCAAGAGCACGAGUUCGGGGAUUUCCUUCACGAGCGUCUGAAGGAGAAAAGAUUUUUGGUAGUUUUGGAUGACAUAUGGGAAAGUGACGAUUGGAAAUGCCUUGCAAAGGCGUUCCCAGAGGAGAACAAUGGCAGCAGAUUACUUCUUACAACUAGAAACAAGAAUGUUGCUUUGCAAGCAGAUGCUCAAAGUGUUCCCUACGAAGUGAAACUUCUCUCCGAAGAAGAGAGUUGGAAGUUGUUUUGUAGAAGUGCAAUCCCUGGCAAUGUUACCGAGAGUUGUCCUCCAGAGUUAAAGGAACUUGGGGAAAAGAUGGUGAAGAAAUGCGCUGGUUUACCAUUGGCUAUUGUUGUAUUGGGAGGCUUGCUAUCAUCCAGAACGCAGUUACUGACUGUGUGGGAAGAAGUGUUCAACAAACUCCGGGCGCACUUCGCAGUAAGCAAUGGAGUAGAUGCAAUAUUGAGCUUAAGCUACAUCGAUCUGCCCCACAACUUGAAAUCCUGCUUUCUUUAUCUAGGCCUCUUUCCAGAAGAUAAGGUUAUCUCCAAGAGACGUUUACUCCUUCUAUGGAUUGCGGAGGGUUUUAUUACACAACAAGAUGAACAGAGACUGGAGGACACCGCUGAGGAUUAUUUGAAUCAGUUAAUCAACAGAAACUUGGUUCAAGUGGUGUCAGUGAGUGUUAAUGAGAGAGUCACACGAUGUCGGAUUCAUGAUCUAGUACGGGAUUUAUGCAUAAAAAAGGCGAAGGAGCAAAACUUUUUUGAGAUUAAAAAUGACAUAGUUUCUCCUUCCUCAACUAGUUCAUCUCUCCCUUCAACCAAAUCCCGUCGACUAGGUAUCUAUUUAGACUUCAAGAGGUAUGCUUCCAAACAAAAUUCAACUUCAUACGUUCGUUCUCUCCUCUUUUUUGGAGACCGACCUCUAUCCUCAAAUUUUAUUUAUAAGUAUUUCAAAUUGCUUAGAGUGUUGGACUUGGAAGCAGUAGGUAUCAUAAGCCAACCAAAUUCACUUGGGAAACUAGUUCAUUUAAGAUACUUGACAUUAAAGAGGGUUGAAAAUUUCAAUGACCCAUACCUUUUGAGCUUCUUAGGUAAGUUAAAAGGUUUACAAACUCUGGGUGUAGAAUUUUCCACAGAAGUACCAAUUCUGAUACAAAAAAUGGAAAAUCUACGAUACCUUUUCCUCUCGUAUUAUAAAAAAGUUGGCAAACCAUUACAAAUUGAUACCCUGAGAAAUCUUCAAACUCUCUCAGGCAUAUAUUUUAGUGAUUGGCAACAAAAUGACACAAGCGAGUUCACUAGCCUUCGAAAAUUGAAAAUAGAAGUGGAUGAUGUGACAGUGGCUGAGUUUUCAAACUCCAUUGCUAAGCUUGCGAAUCUUCGCUCCUUGUAUCUUGAGGCAGUAUCACCUAACUUUAUUCCAUGCUUUGUCAUGAAUUCUUGGCUUCAUCUAUCUAAGUUGCUGUUGAAAGGAUCAAUACCGAUGUUACCUAAAGCAGAUGAGUUCCCGCCAAGUUUAACACAAUUGACGUUGGAAAAUAUUAGGCUAGGCCAUGGCCAUAUGAUGAUUUUAGAGAAGUUGCCAAAAUUGUUGAUUUUCAGAUUAAGAAGAAUGUCCAAAUACCUUGAAGAGGAAAUGCAAGUAUCUGCAGAUGGCUUUCCUCAACUCAAAAUCCUUCAACUUUCUGGCUUACGAACAUCACCAAGGUUGUUGAUUAUAAAUAAGGGUGGCAUGCCAAAACUUACUCACUUGCAGAUUUUUGAAUGUUACUUCAACAUCGAUGGACUUGGUGAGCUCUUACAUCUAAGGAAGGUAGAUGUCAAUGUUGCAUAUCAUCGUUGGAUUUCUUCCUUGCCAUAUCCUUCUGAAUGGCAUAAAAUUAGAAGCAAGACAGAAGAGGGAAAAGAAGGCCACAUUAUAUGGCAUUUUUACCGUUGAUGAUUGCUGGGGUUAUAAGCAGUAGCACAAGAAGAUUGGUGAAUCCAUACCUGAUCAAGACCUAGUCGGGCACACUGGAUUGAAUAAGGGUGCAAUUCACUUUCAUUACAGAUGAUUGCUGAGGCCUAUGCAGCAAUAUGAGAAAAUUGUUUGUGCAUGGUGUGUUUGGUUGCAUGAAAAUUUGUAUAAUUCUUUUGUAUAUUACUGUAAAUUAUGCGAGUUGAUAAGUGAUUAAGACCUAUCAAAGUGUGUGUUUUUCUGUUCCUGUUAUUGUAAUAAUUUGUUACUGAGAUUGUAUGCAUUUAUCUAUUCUUAUGAAUAGCAAUGAGAGCGGAUUUUCUAUGGCCAAGACCAAAAUGAUCCAUCUAUUGAAUUGUGAAGCUUGAAUCAGUCCUAUUGCGAUAUGCAGGGGAUAUCAGAAGUUGAACUCCCAGUUAAGAUUCUUAUCCACUAAAAUUACUCUUAUAAAGAGGCAAAAGAUUUUCAUGUAAUCAUAUAGUUUUGGUAACAAAUCCCACA